GGAAUCUGGGAGGACCAUCUCCUAAGGCUAAAUACUCUCUAGUGACCGAUAGUGAACCAGUACCGUGAGGGAAAGGUGAAAAGCACCCCGGAAGGGGAGUGAAAUAGAACCUGAAACCGUGUGCUUACAAGUAGUCAGAGCCCGUUAAUGGGUGAUGGCGUGCCUUUUGUAGAAUGAACCGGCGAGUUACGAUUUGAUGCAAGGUUAAGCAGUAAAUGUGGAGCCGUAGCGAAAGCGAGUCUGAAUAGGGCGUUUAGUAUUUGGUCGUAGACCCGAAACCAGGUGAUCUACCCUUGGUCAGGUUGAAGUUCAGGUAACACUGAAUGGAGGACCGAACCGACUUACGUUGAAAAGUGAGCGGAUGAACUGAGGGUAGCGGAGAAAUUCCAAUCGAACCUGGAGAUAGCUGGUUCUCUCCGAAAUAGCUUUAGGGCUAGCCUCAAGUGAUGAUUAUUGGAGGUAGAGCACUGUUUGGACGAGGGGCCCCUCUCGGGUUACCGAAUUCAGACAAACUCCGAAUGCCAAUUAAUUUAACUUGGGAGUCAGAACAUGGGUGAUAAGGUCCGUGUUCGAAAGGGAAACAGCCCAGACCACCAGCUAAGGUCCCAAAAUAUAUGUUAAGUGGAAAAGGAUGUGGCGUUGCCCAGACAACUAGGAUGUUGGCUUAGAAGCAGCCAUCAUUUAAAGAGUGCGUAAUAGCUCACUAGUCGAGUGACACUGCGCCGAAAAUGUACCGGGGCUAAACAUAUUACCGAAGCUGUGGAUUGUCCUUUGGACAAUGGUAGGAGAGCGUUCUAAGGGCGUUGAAGCAUGAUCGUAAGGACAUGUGGAGCGCUUAGAAGUGAGAAUGCCGGUGUGAGUAGCGAAAGACGGGUGAGAAUCCCGUCCACCGAUUGACUAAGGUUUCCAGAGGAAGGCUCGUCCGCUCUGGGUUAGUCGGGUCCUAAGCUGAGGCCGACAGGCGUAGGCGAUGGAUAACAGGUUGAUAUUCCUGUACCACCUAUAAUCGUUUUAAUCGAUGGGGGGACGCAGUAGGAUAGGCGAAGCGUGCGAUUGGAUUGCACGUCUAAGCAGUAAGGCUGAGUAUUAGGCAAAUCCGGUACUCGUUAAGGCUGAGCUGUGAUGGGGAGAAGACAUUGAGUCUUCGAGUCGUUGAUUUCACACUGCCGAGAAAAGCCUCUAGAUAGAAAAUAGGUGCCCGUACCGCAAACCGACACAGGUAGUCAAGAUGAGAAUUCUAAGGUGAGCGAGCGAACUCUCGUUAAGGAACUCGGCAAAAUGACCCCGUAACUUCGGGAGAAGGGGUGCUCUUUAGGGUUAACGCCCAGAAGAGCCGCAGUGAAUAGGCCCAAGCGACUGUUUAUCAAAAACACAGGUCUCUGCUAAACCGUAAGGUGAUGUAUAGGGGCUGACGCCUGCCCGGUGCUGGAAGGUUAAGAGGAGUGGUUAGCUUCUGCGAAGCUACGAAUCGAAGCCCCAGUAAACGGCGGCCGUAACUAUAACGGUCCUAAGGUAGCGAAAUUCCUUGUCGGGUAAGUUCCGACCCGCACGAAAGGCGUAACGAUUUGGGCACUGUCUCAACGAGAGACUCGGUGAAAUCAUAGUACCUGUGAAGAUGCAGGUUACCCGCGACAGGACGGAAAGACCCCGUGGAGCUUUACUGUAGCCUGAUAUUGAAAUUCGGCACAGCUUGUACAGGAUAGGUAGGAGCCUUUGAAACGUGAGCGCUAGCUUACGUGGAGGCGCUGGUGGGAUACUACCCUAGCUGUGUUGGCUUUCUAACCCGCACCACUUAUCGUGGUGGGAGACAGUGUCAGGCGGGCAGUUUGACUGGGGCGGUCGCCUCCUAAAAGGUAACGGAGGCGCUCAAAGGUUCCCUCAGAAUGGUUGGAAAUCAUUCAUAGAGUGUAAAGGCAUAAGGGAGCUUGACUGCGAGACCUACAAGUCGAGCAGGGUCGAAAGACGGACUUAGUGAUCCGGUGGUUCCGCAUGGAAGGGCCAUCGCUCAACGGAUAAAAGCUACCCCGGGGAUAACAGGCUUAUCUCCCCCAAGAGUUCACAUCGACGGGGAGGUUUGGCACCUCGAUGUCGGCUCAUCGCAUCCUGGGGCUGUAGUCGGUCCCAAGGGUUGGGCUGUUCGCCCAUUAAAGCGGUACGCGAGCUGGGUUCAGAACGUCGUGAGACAGUUCGGUCCCUAUCCGUCGUGGGCGUAGGAAAUUUGAGAGGAGCUGUCCUUAGUACGAGAGGACCGGGAUGGACAUACCUCUGGUGUACCAGUUGUCGUGCCAACGGCAUAGCUGGGUAGCUAUGUGUGGACGGGAUAAGUGCUGAAAGCAUCUAAGCAUGAAGCCCCCCUCAAGAUGAGAUUUCCCAACUUCGGUUAUAAGAUCCCUCAAAGAUGAUGAGGUUAAUAGGUUCGAGGUGGAAGCAUGGUGACAUGUGGAGCUGACGAAUACUAAUCGAUCGAAGACUUAAUCAA
RNAcentral lists this ribosomal RNA (2479 nucleotides) under Staphylococcus aureus M0450. RNAcentral's name for it is "bacterial LSU rRNA". It matches the Rfam family "Bacterial large subunit ribosomal RNA", at positions 439 to 2925 of the family's 2925-position model. Lineage: Bacteria; Bacillati; Bacillota; Bacilli; Caryophanales; Staphylococcaceae. RNAcentral also lists the same sequence under 264 other names. The record is from RNAcentral.